AAUAACCCACCAUUUUGCGUUUUUGGGUCAAAUAUUGUGUAAUCAUAUUUCCACACUUCAAAAACCUUAAGUAUUUUAUAACCUUGUUUAACUGCCAAGGCUACUUCAGGGAUCACCCAUGUGCCGGUAAUUUGUCUUUCACAUUCUUCGUGUAUACAUCUAAAGACAUUAUUAUUUUCUGCACAUUUUCUACAAAGUGGGAAAUAUAAUUUAUUGUCAUAUUUGUAAGGUAAAACGGAAACUGGUGGGGUUUGGUUUCUGAAUAUUGUUGGAUGCCCAAUGGGGUAUGCAUUAAUUUUUGCAUAAGUCCUAAAUACUUCUGUUCUUCCCCCAU
Hermetia illucens (black soldier fly) is the source of this 334-nucleotide long non-coding RNA. RefSeq lists it as uncharacterized. The record is from RefSeq and is a predicted model, not a curated record. NCBI's taxonomy places the organism in Eukaryota, Metazoa, Arthropoda, Insecta, Diptera, Stratiomyidae. The transcript has 3 exons.